UAACCCAGGCACCAUAGAUAGCAUAGCCAACUCAAUGUGAAAAGGAAAACUGGGUAUGAAAAAAAAAGCCAAAGCAUUGGUACACUUGUAAACAUCCUUCAGUUUAUUCAUGGACACUACAUGAAUAUUCAUUGGUUACCUAGUGAUGAUCUGCUGUGAGCAAGCGGUUGGCCACACUGGGACAGAAGAGUCGGACAUGAACUUUGCUCUUAAGGAAGUUUCUUGCUGGUUAAGGGAGAGUUAGGCAGACCGUGAAAGGCCUCAUGUGAACUAGCGACCUUCUGACUUUGUGGAGAGAUUCCCAGAAAACAAACCAGAAGCUUCUCUUCCUGUGUCAACAGGAAGUGACCUGGUGUGACAUGGGGAUAAAUGGAAAUCAGAAAUAAUCAAGCAAGAUGCAUAUACCAAGUGUCCGCCUGGGCUCAACUCUGCAUGGGGCUAAGAGCUUGGCUUGGGAUUAGACCGACCUGGAUUCAAAUAUCUGCUGUGGGAUUUCAUGAAAAAGCCACACACUGGCUUUGGGACCUUUGGUAACUCUUCACUCCUCCAGGCAUCAGUUGGACAGUGGGGAUAUGGGUAUCCCCCCCUGGCCAGGUUGUUUGGAGGAGAACAUGAGCGGAUGCUGACAAAUGAUUGGUCCACCCUACUGAGACGGAUCUGCCUCCAAUCUGGGCCUCCAUGAGUCCAGGGGCUCUUUCUUCCAGCAAAUCCAGGACUGACUUAUUGUGGAGACGACUGCCAGGUGACAACGCUGGGACACCUUCAGAGGAGGGGGUCGGUGGUGACUCCAAACCUCACCAGGGAUCCCGGCUUGCCACGGCCUCCACAUCCAGUGACAACAGAAAAGGACGCGCACAGAAAGGAGUGGUCAGCGUUUUGCUGACUGCCCUUCCUUCUUCAAGCCCAUUAGAGAAGUCCAACCGCAGGUCCGUAGAGAGGGCACCUCCACCGCUAAUGCCCCGCCACUCAGGGAGCAGGACAGGGAGGCAGUGGGGAGGCCGCCCCCUCUUCUUCCACCAUCGGAGCCCAAAGCCAUCCUCCAUCAUGCCUUCUUUUCCAGUCUGCAUCUGCACAUCAACCCCCAUCCCUGGUCCCUGACACACAAUACUGAAUAAAUAUGCCUGGCCCGGGUCCA
This 1135-nucleotide long non-coding RNA is filed under the name Bos indicus x Bos taurus (hybrid cattle). RNAcentral describes it as "lncRNA (ENSBIXG00005016717.1)". Lineage: Eukaryota; Metazoa; Chordata; Mammalia; Artiodactyla; Bovidae. The record is from RNAcentral.